AGCGUAGCCGCGGUAAUACGUAGGUCCCGAGCGUUGUCCGGAAUUAUUGGGCGUAAAGCGCGCGCAGGCGGAUAGGUCAGUCUGUCUUAAAAGUUCGGGGCUUAACCCCGUGAUGAGAUGGAAACUGCCAAUCUAGAGUAUCGGAGAGGAAAGUGGAAUUCCUAGUGUAGCGGUGAAAUGCGUAGAUAUUAGGAAGAACACCAGUGGCGAAGGCGACUUUCUGGACGAAAACUGACGCUGAGGCGCGAAAGCCAGGGGAGCGAGCGGGAUUAGAUACCCGAGUAGUCCCUGUCUCUUAUACAC
Molecule: ribosomal RNA, 303 nt
Filed under: uncultured bacterium
Lineage: Bacteria
Description: partial 16S ribosomal RNA
Rfam family: Bacterial small subunit ribosomal RNA
Source: RNAcentral